GUCUUUUUGAUUAUAAUUUAAAGUCUAACCUGCCCACUGAAAUUUUUGAAGGGCCGCGGUAUUUUGACUGUGCAAAGGUAGCAUAAUCAUUAGUCUUUUAAUUGGAGGCUUGUAUGAAUGGUUGGAUGAGGUAUUAACUGUCUCAAUUUAAUAAAUAAUAGAAUUUUAUUUUUAAGUUAAAAAGCUUAAAUUUUAUUAAAAGACGAGAAGACCCUAUAGAUCUUUAUAAUUAAAUUUAUAAUAAUUUUUUAGGUUAAAUUUAUUUUUAUAUAAAUAAUUAUUAUAUUGGGGUGAUAGAAAAAUUUAUAAAACUUUUUUUGUAAAUAGACAAUAAUAUUUGAUUAAUUGAUCCAUUUUUUGUGAUUAUAAGAUUAAGUUACCUUAGGGAUAACAGCGUAAUUUUUUUGGAGAGUUCUUAUCGAUAAAAAAGAUUGCGACCUCGAUGUUGAAUUAAAGGUUAAUUUUAGGUGUAGAAGUUUAAAAUUUUGGUCUGUUCGACCAUUGAAUC
Molecule: ribosomal RNA, 508 nt
Filed under: Sinochauliodes fujianensis
Lineage: Eukaryota; Metazoa; Arthropoda; Insecta; Megaloptera; Corydalidae
Description: partial large subunit ribosomal RNA
Rfam family: Bacterial large subunit ribosomal RNA (bases 387-508)
Source: RNAcentral